UACGUAGGUGGCAAGCGUUGUCCGGAAUUAUUGGGCUUAAAGGGCGCGUAGGCGGGCAAGCAAGUCCGGGGUGAAAUCUUUCGGCUCAACCGGAAAAGUGCCUUGGAUACUGCUUGUCUGGAGGGAGGUAGGGGCAUGCGGAACUUCUGGUGGAGCGGUGAAAUGCGUUGAUAUCAGAAGGAACGCCGGUGGCGAAAGCGGCGUGCUGGACCUCUUCUGACGCUGAUGCGCGAAAGCUAGGGGAGCAAACGGG
Molecule: ribosomal RNA, 253 nt
Filed under: uncultured bacterium
Lineage: Bacteria
Description: partial 16S ribosomal RNA
Rfam family: Bacterial small subunit ribosomal RNA
Source: RNAcentral